UGAAGAGUUUGAUCAUGGCUCAGAUUGAACGCUGGCGGCAGGCCUAACACAUGCAAGUCGAACGGUAACAGGAAGCAGCUUGCUGCUUUGCUGACGAGUGGCGGACGGGUGAGUAAUGUCUGGGAAACUGCCUGAUGGAGGGGGAUAACUACUGGAAACGGUGGCUAAUACCGCAUAACGUCGCAAGACCAAAGAGGGGGACCUUCGGGCCUCUUGCCAUCAGAUGUGCCCAGAUGGGAUUAGCUUGUUGGUGAGGUAACGGCUCACCAAGGCGACGAUCCCUAGCUGGUCUGAGAGGAUGACCAGCCACACUGGAACUGAGACACGGUCCAGACUCCUACGGGAGGCAGCAGUGGGGAAUAUUGCACAAUGGGCGCAAGCCUGAUGCAGCCAUGCCGCGUGUAUGAAGAAGGCCUUCGGGUUGUAAAGUACUUUCAGCGGGGAGGAAGGUGUUGUGGUUAAUAACCGCAGCAAUUGACGUUACCCGCAGAAGAAGCACCGGCUAACUCCGUGCCAGCAGCCGCGGUAAUACGGAGGGUGCAAGCGUUAAUCGGAAUUACUGGGCGUAAAGCGCACGCAGGCGGUCUGUCAAGUCGGAUGUGAAAUCCCCGGGCUCAACCUGGGAACUGCAUUCGAAACUGGCAGGCUUGAGUCUUGUAGAGGGGGGUAGAAUUCCAGGUGUAGCGGUGAAAUGCGUAGAGAUCUGGAGGAAUACCGGUGGCGAAGGCGGCCCCCUGGACAAAGACUGACGCUCAGGUGCGAAAGCGUGGGGAGCAAACAGGAUUAGAUACCCUGGUAGUCCACGCCGUAAACGAUGUCUACUUGGAGGUUGUGCCCUUGAGGCGUGGCUUCCGGAGCUAACGCGUUAAGUAGACCGCCUGGGGAGUACGGCCGCAAGGUUAAAACUCAAAUGAAUUGACGGGGGCCCGCACAAGCGGUGGAGCAUGUGGUUUAAUUCGAUGCAACGCGAAGAACCUUACCUGGUCUUGACAUCCACAGAAGAAUCCAGAGAUGGAUUUGUGCCUUCGGGAACUGUGAGACAGGUGCUGCAUGGCUGUCGUCAGC
RNAcentral lists this ribosomal RNA (1065 nucleotides) under Salmonella enterica. Its description in RNAcentral is "bacterial SSU rRNA". It matches the Rfam family "Bacterial small subunit ribosomal RNA", at positions 1 to 1059 of the family's 1533-position model. Lineage: Bacteria; Pseudomonadati; Pseudomonadota; Gammaproteobacteria; Enterobacterales; Enterobacteriaceae. RNAcentral also lists the same sequence under 1 other name. The record is from RNAcentral.